GGACGAACGCUGGCGGCGUGCCUAACACAUGCAAGUCGAGCGGAGAUUUCGGGGGAGCUUGCUCCACCGGAAUUUCAGCGGCGGACGGGUGAGUAACGCGUGAGCAACCUGCCUUCAACAGGGGGAUAACGCAUCGAAAGAUGUGCUAAUACCGCAUGAGACCACAACAUCACAUGGUGAAGGGGUCAAAGGAGCAAUCCGGUUGAAGAUGGGCUCGCGUCCGAUUAGCUGGUUGGUGAGACAACAGCCCCACCAAGGCGACGAUCGGUAGCCGACCUGAGAGGGUGAUCGGCCACAUUGGAACUGAGAUACGGUCCAGACUCCUACGGGAGGCAGCAGUGGGGAAUAUUGGGCAAUGGGCGAAAAAGCCUGACCCAGCAACGCCGCGUGAGGGAAGAAGGGUUUCGGCUCGUAAACCUCUGUCCUGUGGGACGAAGGAAGUGACGGUACCACAGGAGGAAGCCCCGGCUAACUACGUGCCAGCCGCGGC
RNAcentral lists this ribosomal RNA (490 nucleotides) under uncultured bacterium. RNAcentral describes it as "bacterial SSU rRNA". It matches the Rfam family "Bacterial small subunit ribosomal RNA", at positions 27 to 518 of the family's 1533-position model. The record is from RNAcentral.